AACCUUAUGGACCUGCGGGCGUAUACCUGCGGAGGGAUCAUUACCGAGUUUACAACUCCCAAACCCCUGUGAACAUACCUAUAUGUUGCCUCGGCGGAUCAGCCCGCGCCCCGUAAAACGGGACGGCCCGCCGCAGGAUCCACAAACUCUGUUUUUAUUGUAACUUCUGAGUAACAAAACAAAUAAAUCAAAACUUUCAGCAAUGGAUCU
This 210-nucleotide unclassified non-coding RNA is filed under the name soil metagenome. Its description in RNAcentral is "partial contains 5.8S ribosomal RNA, internal transcribed spacer 2, and large subunit ribosomal RNA". The record is from RNAcentral.